This is a long non-coding RNA of Oncorhynchus keta (chum salmon), 1298 nucleotides long. RefSeq lists it as uncharacterized. The transcript has 8 exons. The record is from RefSeq and is a predicted model, not a curated record. NCBI's taxonomy places the organism in Eukaryota, Metazoa, Chordata, Actinopteri, Salmoniformes, Salmonidae.
UCCCCAAUGUCUGAGGUUAGGAUUGGGGAAGGGGCUCCUAGAUGCUGAGGUUAGGAUUGGGGAAGGGGCUCCUAGAUGCUGAGGUUAGGAUUGGGGAAGGGGCUCCUAGAUGCUGAGGUUAGGAUUGGGGAAGGGGCUCCUAGAUGCUGAGGUUAGGAUUGGGGAAGGGGCUCCUAGAUGCUGAGGUUAGGAUUGGGGAAGGGGCUCCUAGAUGCUGAGGUUAGGAUUGGGGAAGGGGCUCCUAGAUGCUGAGGUUAGGAUUGGGGAGGGGGCUCCUAGAUGCUGAGGUUAGGAUUGGGGAGGGGGCUCCUAGAUGCUGAGGUUAGGAUUGGGGAAGGGGCUCCUAGAUGCUGAGGUUAGGAUUGGGGAAGGGGCUCCUAGAUGCUGAGGUUAGGAUUGGGGAGGGGGCUCCUAGAUGCUGAGGUUAGGAUUGGGGAAGGGGCUCCUAGAUGCUGAGGUUAGGAUUGGGGAAGGGGCUCCUAGAUGCUGAGGUUAGGAUUGGGGAGGGGGCUCCUAGAUGCUGAGGUUAGGAUUGGGGAGGGGGCUCCUAGAUGCUGAGGUUAGGAUUGGGGAAGGGGCUCCUAGAUGCUGAUUCACCCCCCUCCCCAAUGUCUGAGGUUAGGAUUGGGGAAGGGGCUCCUAGAUGCUGAGGUUAGGAUUGGGGAAGGGGCUCCUAGAUGCUGAGGUUAGGAUUGGGGAAGGGGCUCCUAGAUGCUGAGGUUAGGAUUGGGGAAGGGGCUCCUAGAUGCUGAGGUUAGGAUUGGGGAGGGGGCUCCUAGAUGCUGAGGUUAGGAUUGGGGAAGGGGCUCCUAGAUGCUGAGGUUAGGAUUGGGGAAGGGGCUCCUAGAUGCUGAGGUUAGGAUUGGGGAAGGGGCUCCUAGAUGCUGAUUCCCCCCCUCCCCAAUGUCUGAGGUUAGGAUUGGGGAAGGGGCUCCUAGAUGCUGAUUCCCCCCCUCCCCAAUGUCUGAGGUUAGGAUUGGGGAAGGGGCUCCUAGAUGCUGAGUCACCCCCUCCCCAAUGUCUGAGGUUAGGAUUGGGGAAGGGGCUCCUAGAUGCUGAUUUCCCCCCCCCAGGAAACUGAUACUAGAUCUGUACAUAAGGGCGCCGCUGACCAACAGGAACUAUAAUAGAUACCAAACACAAUAACUAUCGGCCCCUUUGGUUUACAAAACGGUCAUUGUAAAUGGAAAAACUAUAUAUAUAUUAUUAUUAUUUAUAAUAAAAUAACUUUUAAAUUAGAUGAUUCCGUCUGUUAUCAAGGUUAAUUUUCUCUCUCACAGGACUGUAUAUACACACAC